GGAAGGAGAAGUCGUAACAAGGUUUCCGUAGGUGAMCCUGCGAAGGAUCAUUG
RNAcentral lists this ribosomal RNA (53 nucleotides) under Krameria revoluta. RNAcentral describes it as "partial 18S ribosomal RNA". It matches the Rfam family "Eukaryotic small subunit ribosomal RNA". Lineage: Eukaryota; Viridiplantae; Streptophyta; Magnoliopsida; Zygophyllales; Krameriaceae. The record is from RNAcentral.